AGAAGCAAUAAUGUUAAUAUGAGUAACAAGAAGACUCUUCUCCCUGCAUGAGUGUAUAUCAGAACGAAUGACGCACUGGUAGUUAACAAAUACAAAUAUAACUAACCAACUAAAAUCUUAAUAUAAUUGUUAACCCAACACAGGCAUGCAACUAAGGAAAGAUUAAAAGAAGUAAAAGGAACUCGGC
Molecule: ribosomal RNA, 187 nt
Filed under: Myotis volans
Lineage: Eukaryota; Metazoa; Chordata; Mammalia; Chiroptera; Vespertilionidae
Description: partial 16S ribosomal RNA
Source: RNAcentral